Long non-coding RNA from Pipistrellus kuhlii (Kuhl's pipistrelle), 1401 nucleotides. RefSeq lists it as uncharacterized. The transcript is spliced from 2 exons. The record is from RefSeq and is a predicted model, not a curated record. NCBI's taxonomy places the organism in Eukaryota, Metazoa, Chordata, Mammalia, Chiroptera, Vespertilionidae.
UGGUUGGGGGUCACCACAACAUGAGGAACUAUAUUAAAGGGUCAUGGCAUUAGGAAGGUGGAGAACCACUGCUCUACCUGGUUCAUAGACACCAGAAGCUGGAGGUCACCUAGCUUCUCAUGGCAGAGCAGGACUGCAACCUGAGUCUGCACCAAAGCUUGCCCUCCACCAGUACCUCUCUCCUGCACCUCAGGUAAAGGUUUCCUGUUUAUUCCUCAUUCCCUGUGGGUGUCCUUGGCUAACGGCCACCUGUAACUGCACUCAUGUCCUGAGCUCUCUCUGAGGAUUGUCUGGAAAACACACACACAGCUGCAGGCAGUAAACUACCUACCAGACACCAGCAAUCCCCACUGCCCACAUGAUCACAAAUACUUGAACGUGUAUUCAUUACCAGGACAAAUAUUGGGUGGCUUUUACUUAAUCCUGUCUUCUCCCAGCCAAACGACUUCAUAACACAGUAGACAUCAAGCUCGGUGUACUUUCCUCUGUGAGGCUUCCAGCCCACAAACCCACAUCAGGACCACUCCUUUCCACUCCUUACUGCUAAUAGACACAAAUAAAAAUGAUGCCCGUUACUCAAUAUAAUUCUUCUUCCUUACUUUCAAUUCCCUAAUUCAUGUGAGCACAACAACCAACCGUAUCAAGAAAUGGCUAAUAGAGUGAAUACUAUUAGAAAUUAGACUAAAAUAGACACAAUCAUUUUUUUUCAAGUAAAAGCAAAGGUAAGCUUCCUGAUCAAAAAGCAAUAUAAGGAAUUGUACCAGAGACAAUUAGACUGAUAAUUCUAUGCCUUUUUAUUCAGUUAUUUCAAAAAUAUUUGCUGAUCAUUUGUUUCAAAAUGUACAUUUAAAAAAUCCAUACAAAAUUGUAAUUUGUUUUCAUACCAGACAGAAACAGUGAAAAAAGGAUUUUGAAAAAAGUUCACUGAAAGUAACCCACCCCCCAAAAAAGAAAAAAACAACAGAAAAAAAAACACACACAAUCAAAAACACAAACUAGAACCUUUUACAUGAGCAUAAAUACGGCAGGCACAAAAUUUCCUUGAGUUCCUUGCUGAAAUUUGGUCCAUAACAUGAACAUGAACUGGCUAAAGUAGAAAAACAAAAAGACACUUUUUGUCCACAUUUGCAUUAUGAGUUGCCCAGGGCACCAGCAGUCUCUGCUUAUCCUUCAGAUGUUUAUUAAACAAGAGGAACUGAAAAAUGAGGUUUAAUCUCACCCAUAAACACUUGAAUCUGUACCCAAGGAAGUGGUGGCACUUCCAAGCACAGGUGGAGCCUACUGGGUGAACAGGGCUGUCCAGCCAGGGAUGGUCACACCUCCGUGUCCCAGAUCUUAUUCUCGGACACUGACUUAUUAAUGCCCCUUCAUGAGGAUAGUUUUUUUCCUUUUCAACAGAUU